Molecule: ribosomal RNA, 584 nt
Filed under: uncultured bacterium
Lineage: Bacteria
Description: partial 16S ribosomal RNA
Rfam family: Bacterial small subunit ribosomal RNA
Source: RNAcentral
UGGGGAAUUUUGGACAAUGGGCGAAAGCCUGAUCCAGCAAUGCCGCGUGUGUGAAGAAGGCCUUCGGGUUGUAAAGCACUUUUGUCCGGAAAGAAAUCCUUGGCUCUAAUACAGUCGGGGGAUGACGGUACCGGAAGAAUAAGCACCGGCUAACUACGUGCCAGCAGCCGCGGUAAUACGUAGGGUGCAAGCGUUAAUCGGAAUUACUGGGCGUAAAGCGUGCGCAGGCGGUUUGCUAAGACCGAUGUGAAAUCCCCGGGCUCAACCUGGGAACUGCAUUGGUGACUGGCAGGCUAGAGUAUGGCAGAGGGGGGUAGAAUUCCACGUGUAGCAGUGAAAUGCGUAGAGAUGUGGAGGAAUACCGAUGGCGAAGGCAGCCCCCUGGGCCAAUACUGACGCUCAUGCACGAAAGCGUGGGGAGCAAACAGGAUUAGAUACCCUGGUAGUCCACGCCCUAAACGAUGUCAACUAGUUGUCGGGUCUUCAUUGACUUGGUAACGUAGCUAACGCGUGAAGUUGACCGCCUGGGGAGUACGGUCGCAAGAUUAAAACUCAAAGGAAUUGACGGGGUCAUAGCUGUUUCC